AGCUUCAUGGUUGAGUCAUAUGGUAAUUUGACUUUCUGAGGAACUGCCAAACUCUUUUCCACAGAAGCUACACCACUGUACACUCCCAUCAGCAAU
RNAcentral lists this microRNA precursor (96 nucleotides) under Marmota monax (woodchuck). The record is from RNAcentral. Lineage: Eukaryota; Metazoa; Chordata; Mammalia; Rodentia; Sciuridae.